UGCUAAUACCGGAUAACAACAGAUGAUGCCUAUCAACUGUUUAAAAGAUGGUUCUGCUAUCACUCUUGGAUGGACCUGCGGUGCAUUAGCUAGUUGGUAGGGUAACGGCCUACCAAGGCGAUGAUGCAUAGCCGAGUUGAGAGACUGAUCGGCCACAUUGGGACUGAGACACGGCCCAAACUCCUACGGGGGCAGCAGCG
Molecule: ribosomal RNA, 200 nt
Filed under: uncultured Lactobacillus sp.
Lineage: Bacteria; Bacillati; Bacillota; Bacilli; Lactobacillales; Lactobacillaceae
Description: partial 16S ribosomal RNA
Rfam family: Bacterial small subunit ribosomal RNA
Source: RNAcentral